CGCCUGGGGAGUGCGGCCGCAAGGUUAAAACUCAAAUGAAUUGACGGGGGCCCGCACAAGCGGUGGAGCAUGUGGUUUAAUUCGACGCAACGCGAAGAACCUUACCUGGCCUUGACAUGCAGAGAACUUUCCAGAGAUGGAUUGGUGCCUUCGGGAACUCUGACACAGGUGCUGCAUGGCCGUCGUCAGCUCGUGUCGUGAGAUGUUGGGUUAAGUCCCGUAACGAGCGCAACCCCUAUCCCUAGUUGCUAGCAGUUCGGCUGAGAACUCUAGGGAGACUGCCGGUGACAAACCGGAGGAAGGUGGGGAUGACGUCAGGUCAUCAUGGCCCUUACGGCCAGGGCUACACACGUGCUACAAUGGUGCGCACAGAGGGCUGCAAACCCGCGAGGGGGAGCCAAUCUCACAAAACGCAUCGUAGUCCGGAUCGCAGUCUGCAACUCGACUGCGUGAAGUCGGAAUCGCUAGUAAUCGUGAAUCAGAAUGUCACGGUGAAUACGUUCCCGGGCCUUGUACACGCCGCCCGUCACACCAUGGGAGUGGAUUGCACCAGAAGUGGUUAGUCUAACCUUCGGGAGGACGAUCACCACGGUGUGGUUCAUGACUGGGGUGAAGUCGUAACAAGGUAACCGUA
RNAcentral lists this ribosomal RNA (634 nucleotides) under uncultured Marinobacter sp. Its description in RNAcentral is "bacterial SSU rRNA". It matches the Rfam family "Bacterial small subunit ribosomal RNA", at positions 870 to 1504 of the family's 1533-position model. The record is from RNAcentral. Lineage: Bacteria; Pseudomonadati; Pseudomonadota; Gammaproteobacteria; Pseudomonadales; Marinobacteraceae.